CAGUCGCCGCGGGAAUACGAAGGGCGCAAGCGUUAAUCGGAAUUACUGGGCGUAAAGCGUGCGUAGGCGGUUUGUUAAGUCUGCUGUGAAAUCCCCGGGCUCAACCUGGGAAUGGCAGUGGAUACUCGCAAGCUAGAGUGUGUCAGAGGAUGGUGGAAUUCCCGGUGUAGCGGUGAAAUGCGUAGAGAUCGGGAGGAACAUCAGUGGCGAAGGCGGCCAUCUGGGACAACACUGACGCUGAGGCACGAAAGCGUGGGGAGCAAACAGGAUUAGAUACCCCGGUAGUCCCUGUCUCUUAUAC
This 301-nucleotide ribosomal RNA is filed under the name uncultured bacterium. RNAcentral describes it as "partial 16S ribosomal RNA". It matches the Rfam family "Bacterial small subunit ribosomal RNA", at positions 509 to 807 of the family's 1533-position model. The record is from RNAcentral.